AACCUAGCACACCUGCGGUGUGUACCUGCGGAGGGAUCAUUAUAGAGUUUUCUAAACUCCCAAACCCAUGUGAACUUACCAUUGUUGCCUCGGCAGAACCUACCCGGUACCUACCCUGGAACUAGCUACCCUGUAGCUACCCAGGAACGGGCUACCCUGUAACGUCCUGCCGGUGGACUUCUAAACUCUUGUUAUUUAUAGUAAUCUGAGCGUCUUAUUUUAAUAAGUCAAAACUUUUAG
Molecule: unclassified non-coding RNA, 240 nt
Filed under: soil metagenome
Description: partial contains 5.8S ribosomal RNA, internal transcribed spacer 2, and large subunit ribosomal RNA
Source: RNAcentral